RNAcentral lists this ribosomal RNA (496 nucleotides) under uncultured bacterium. RNAcentral's name for it is "partial 16S ribosomal RNA". It matches the Rfam family "Bacterial small subunit ribosomal RNA", at positions 28 to 506 of the family's 1533-position model. The record is from RNAcentral.
GAUGAACGCUGGCGGCGUGCCUAAUACAUGCAAGUCGAGCGAACAGAUGAGGAGCUUGCUCCUCUGACGUUAGCGGCGGACGGGUGAGUAACACGUGGAUAACCUACCUAUAAGACUGGGAUAACUUCGGGAAACCGGAGCUAAUACCGGAUAAUAUAUUGAACCGCAUGGUUCAAUAGUGAAAGACGGUUUUGCUGUCACUUAUAGAUGGAUCCGCGCCGCAUUAGCUAGUUGGUAAGGUAACGGCUUACCAAGGCAACGAUGCGUAGCCGACCUGAGAGGGUGAUCGGCCACACUGGAACUGAGACACGGUCCAGACUCCUACGGGAGGCAGCAGUAGGGAAUCUUCCGCAAUGGGCGAAAGCCUGACGGAGCAACGCCGCGUGAGUGAUGAAGGUCUGCGGAUCGUAAAACUCUGUUAUUAGGGAAGAACAAAUGUGUAAGUAACUAUGCACGUCUUGACGGUACCUAAUCAGAAAGCCACGGCUAACUACGU